UACGGAGGGGGCUAGCGUUGUUCGGAAUUACUGGGCGUAAAGCGCACGUAGGCGGCUUUGUAAGUUAGAGGUGAAAGCCCGGAGCUCAACUCCGGAAUUGCCUUUAAGACUGCAUCGCUAGAAUUGUGGAGAGGUGAGUGGAGUUCCGAGUGUAGAGGUGAAAUUCGUAGAUAUUCGGAAGAACACCAGUGGCGAAGGCGACUCACUGGACACAUAUUGACGCUGAGGUGCGAAAGCGUGGGGAGCAAACAGG
Molecule: ribosomal RNA, 253 nt
Filed under: uncultured bacterium
Lineage: Bacteria
Description: partial 16S ribosomal RNA
Rfam family: Bacterial small subunit ribosomal RNA
Source: RNAcentral